Long non-coding RNA from Vigna unguiculata (cowpea), 336 nucleotides. RefSeq lists it as uncharacterized. The record is from RefSeq and is a predicted model, not a curated record. NCBI's taxonomy places the organism in Eukaryota, Viridiplantae, Streptophyta, Magnoliopsida, Fabales, Fabaceae.
AAUCAAAACACUUAGAAUUUAUUCAUAGUUUCUCUCUAAAAAAACACAUCUUGCAGAUACAUAUCUUGUUCAAGUUCAAUCCUAGAGAGAAUGUGUUUUCAAUCCAUAAUAGCUCUGGUGCACUACAACGGUCGGAUCAUCAAUGACGAGCUUUUGUCAUCACGAUUUGUGAGCCAAGUUUCACGAUAUCUUGAAGUCAAUAACUCCAUGUCAGUAACCGCUCUCAAACAAACGAUUCUUGAUUUGUUUAUUGCUUCCAAUGGAAAAUCAUACACCGUUGAUUUGUGUUAUCGUUGUCCACUUAAAACAAAUGAAUUAAAGAUUUCUUAUCGUACU